Molecule: non-coding RNA, 5962 nt
Organism: Oryza sativa Japonica Group (Japanese rice)
Lineage: Eukaryota; Viridiplantae; Streptophyta; Magnoliopsida; Poales; Poaceae
Source: RefSeq, a predicted model, not a curated record
GCCUCGUGGCCGUUUGAUCUGAUCUCAACGGUCUAGAUCACGCGAGGCCCUGAACUAGUAGGGGUCACAGCCAAAAGCCCAAAACUCUCAUGCCCGCGCCGGCGGGUGAUCGGAGCUGAGCAUUUCACGAGCAGCGGAUGAAGCUGCCGGCGUGGCUCACCGCCGUGCCGCCGGAUCCUAGGGCGUACGGUCACCUCAUCCAGCUCUGCGCGGAAUCCGGCCACCUCGCCGCUGCCCGGCAGAUCCACGCGCGCCUCGUCGCCGCCUCCGUGACGCCCUCCAACUUCCUCGCCUCCAAGCUCAUCUCCCUCUACUCCCGCGCCGACCGCCUGCGCGACGCCCGCAGGGUGUUCGACUCUAUCCCGCAGCCCAGCCUCUUCGCCUGGAACGCCAUCCUCAUCUCGCUCUCCCUCCACUCGCCGGACCCUUCCGCGGCCGUCCGCCUGUUCGCCUCCUCCGCCGUCUCCCCCGACGAGAUCACCCUCUCCACGCUCCUCAGGUCCCUCGCCGCGUCCGGCCCGGCGCUCUCCCCACUCGUCACCGGGGAGCUCCACGCCGUCGCGUUCCUGCGGGGCUUCGGGUCAGACCUGUUCGUGUCCAAUGCGCUCAUCACCGCAUAUGCGAACGCCGGGGACAUGCGCUCCGCUCGCGCUGUGUUCGAUGAAAUGCCGAGAAGGGACGUCGUGUCCUGGAACUCGCUUAUAUCCGCGUGUGCCCGUGCAGGCUGGUAUAGAGAGUGCUUGGAUCUGUUCCAGGAGUUCGUGCGGGUUCGUUGCAGUGAUGGUGAUGGUGUUGGGCCGAACGGUGUCACGGUGACAAGUGUUCUGCAUGCUUGCGCGCAGCUCAAGGUUGUUGAUUUCGGGAUUGGUGUUCACCGAUUUGCUGCGGAGAGUGGGCUGGACAUGGACAUGGCAGUAUGGAACUCAAUAAUUGGGUUUUAUGCCAAAUGUGGGAGGUUACAAUAUGCACGACAGUUGUUGGAUGGAAUGACUAGGAAGGAUUCAAUCAGUUACAGUGCAAUGAUCACAGGGUACAUGAAUAACGGGCAUGUUGAAGAGGGAAUGCAGCUUUUCCGGCAAGCAAGUGCUCGGGGCAUCAGCAUGUGGAAUUCAGUGAUUGCGGGCUUAGUUCAAAAUGGGCGCCAGUCAGAUGUUCUUCGGUUGUUGCAAGAAAUGAUUGCCUCUAAAGUACUACCCAAUUCAGCCACACUUUCAAUCGUCAUGCCUUCAGUUCCUUCUUUCUCAACACUACUGGGAGCAAAGCAAGCUCAUGGUUAUGCGAUCAGAAAUGACUAUGAUCAGAGCAUCAGAUUGGUCAGUGCAUUGAUUGAUGCGUAUGCAAAGGCUGGAUUUCUUGAUACAGCCAGGAAGGUGUUUAAACUGACUGAACAUAGAAGCACAAUUGUUUGGACAUCAAUCAUAUCGGCUGUCGCAGCUCAUGGAGAAGCAGUUGAAGCAUUGAGCCUGUUCAAUCAGAUGAUUACUGCUGGUGCGAAGCCAGACACUGUAACUUUCACCACUGUGCUUAGUGCGUGUGCCCAUUCUGGCAAGGUAGCUGAAGCUCGUAAGGUUUUUAACUCAAUGCAGGCUGUUUUUGGUAUCUCUCCAGUGAUUGAGCAGUAUGCUUGCAUGGUUUCUGCACUCAGUCGUGCAGGGAUGCUCAAGGAAGCAGUUAAGCUCGUCAACAAGAUGCCUUUUGAGCCAAAUGCAAAGGUCUGGGGUGCAUUGCUUAAUGGAGCAGCAGUAGUUGGUGACGUUGAGUUCGGGCGUUAUGCAUUUGAUCGCUUGUUUGUCAUUGAACCUAAGAAUACGGGUAAUUACAUUGUUAUGGCUAAUUUAUACUCAAAUGCUGGCAAAUGGGAAGAAGCUGAAACCAUAAGGAGCAUGCUGUGGGGAGUUGGAUUGGAGAAGGUUCCUGGGUGUACUUGGAAUUGAGGGAGAACAAUCGCUUGCAAGUUUUAUUCCUGUGUUUGCCUUAAAGCCGAAAGCUACACACAUUGAUUUGGUUGUUGAGGGGUUAAAUGGGUUGAAUGAUAGAAAAGAUCUUGACAUCAACCUAAGAGUUGGAUGAAGACAAGUUAUGUCGAUAGCAUUCAAUAGAGCUAAAAGUUGAAAUGUGAUUAUCAUGCCUGAAAGCACAUCGGCAUUUUGGAAUUAUUUGGACCAUCGGAUUCCAUACGCCAUUAUGUGGUCAAUUAUAUUGAUCUGACCAAUUAUCAAACCCUAGGAUGACAAAGGAAAAUGAGAACUGGAAACAAUAAGAGCUUUGCUACCACAAUCUUCAAACCUUUCGAAGUGUAUGAUCUUGAGCUCUAAUUUUUAAUAAGGCCAACAGUUACUACAGCAACAGGAAAGUCAAUGAUUACAAAAAUGAUGAAAGCAGUUGCAUUCUGAUUUGAAUUUUCAGGAAGUGCCUCCACAAGUUAAAUCUCAGUGUUUGAUGAAACACCAAAAGAGCAGCAUACAAAAGUUAGUUCAGUUCAUCAAAAGUAGUUGUUCUAGCUUCAGUGUUUUUAUCUCAUGAAAAUCACUACUGGAUCAUUUCUUUAGCCCACCAUGCUUUUUUGCAUUUUGAAACUGGAAUCUGUGGUUAAUGGGAUUGAACCUGUGAUUUUUUUUCAACAUUUUUUUCUCCGUCCAAACCAAAUCCUUGUCUGCUUUGCAUGCAUGUGCCCAAUCCUAUCCUGCAUUAGAAUUACAACUGCAUAGAGCUAGCACAACAAGAUCUGUCUUUUAGUACCCUCGUGCUUGUGGAUCACGGUUCACAUGCUUGGAUCAUUCUACCUCUUCACUUCCCAGGUCAUGAACUCCAAAAAGGAAAAGCACACAAGCAGCUCUCCGGACUGUGCCCAACUUGCUCUGAUCUUACUACCAGAAAGCCACGACUCUUAUUUCGUUCUGUGCCAGCACUCACAUGCUAAAACUUCACAGGCUGAAGGUUGCAGCGAUCUCCACAUGCACUGACCGACCAAAUGAAGCAGGGGAUAGUAUUACUAGUGGCAACAUUGAUGUGAAUUCCAAUGUGAGCUCCAGCUCAUCCUGGAGCCUUGGAGUUUUUUGCCGGGUGGAGCCUUGGAGUUCAAGUGAAGCUAAGUGGAGCGCUCCAUAAUUGGGAUCACAUCAUGCAUAGGCGUUGAGCACUUGAGCCAUGACAAGUUGUACCACAAAGCAAGCAGCAAGACAAAUCAGCUAUGGUGGUCGAAGAUCCUGCGGCCUGCAGUAUCAUCGCUCCAGAAUCCGAAGCCUCAGAUGCCUAGGAAACACUGUGCACCGUACUGAGCUUAUAGCAUGAAAAAGCCGCAGCUAUCUGUCUACUACGUACCACUCUACUACCUCCAGCCAAAUUGUUGGUGUAUAAUUUCAUAGACUGUUAAGCUCGUGGGCAAGGAAUUGUUGCGCCAAUAGAAUCAGCAGGAGAAUCAAAAGUACACUCGCAGAUCACCACUCAUCCCUCACAUGAUGUUGGGUGCAGUGCUAACUUCCAAUCUCACCAAGCACCAGCGAAUUCCUCGACAUUCAACGUGGCAGAUCAGUUCAGCUCAGCCUAAAUAUUCCUUCCGUUCCAUUUUAAAUAUAUAAAUAUAGUUGUGAAUUUUUAUUUUAAAUAUAUAAAUAUAGUUGUGAAUUUUCAUGUCUAACAUUUAACUAUCUAUCUUAGUUGAAAUAUUUUUAUGAUUAAUAUUUUUGUUGUUAUUAGAUAGUAUUUUAUGUGUGACUUGUUACUUUUUUAAAAAAAUAUAAUUUUUUCUAAUAAGACGUACGGUCAAAUGUUGAACGCGAAAACUCACAAAUGCAUUUAAAAUAGGAUGGAGGUAGUAGUUUACACUAAUUUCCACCAAAUUCUGUAUAUAUUGUUUUCAGAGUUCAGGCUAUUAUUUUUAACAGCCGCAUGCAGGAGAGGACAGCUCAAAUGUCAUUGUUAAUACUUUUGUCCUGUCGCUAAUCUGAUGGGUAACCCUACUCAAAUCAUUUCAAAUGCAGAAGAACACCCAUAGGCCGCUCGUGACUGAGGCGCCGCGACAGGGACACUCGAGGCGUUUUUGUCUUUGUACUACCGCAGUGUAGCCGUCCUCCUCUUCUUUUUUCUCUAGAAAAUACAGAAGUCGGUGGCUUCCCAGAAUUUCAGAUGCUGCUAAAAACCACGAGGAAAAGAAAACCCGGCAAGAGGACACCAAGGCCUGAGAAGAUGGGGCAAAACAACGAGCGGGUUAAAUGAACAUUGCAGAGCGGCCUUUCACGUGGCCUUCUUUCUGCCCUCCCCUUCGCUUCGCUCCCUCUUACACUGCAGUUAUGCAACCCCCAAGGAAACUAAUGUUUGCGUGCAGAUUAUGUGACUGUAAAAAAAAAUCAAGACAAAUGCAAGAAAGUGCGGUCAUUGAAGAAUGUAGGGAGGUGUAAAAAAAGGAGGUUUCUAGGGACACCAGUUAUGCACCUCACGGGUGGCGGUCACGGACAGAGCCGGUUACUGUGGUCAUCAAAUCAGUAGGUUCAGUACACGUCCCCUUACCGUGAUGAGGCGCCUCACCUCACGCCUCAGCCAUCAGACAUCAGACGGACGCCUUCGGCUUCAAGCCUCCACUCCUACUACCUCCCUCCAAUUCAGCAACCGUCUGCACCCCAAGCCCAAAAGCAGAGGCGCAUGCAGCGGCAGAAGCAGCCACAGCCGUCACAUAUCGUACGCCCAUCCCUGACCCCAAAUCUUGGUCCCUUGGAUACUACUACUACCACCAGAAACGUCGACGAGAGAAGGGAAGCUAAGCUAGGAGAAAUGGCUGCCACAGCCAUGCAAUGCAGGGGAGGUGAGCGCAGCGAGGACGGCGGUGGCGGUGGCAUGAGGACAGUGGAGUGCCUGAGAGGGAGGCUGCUUGCAGAGAGGGUAGCAUCCAAGGCUGCCAAGGAGGAGGCUGAUUCACUCGCCAAAAGGCUGGAUGAGCUGGAGAAGAAGCUCUCCGACGAGGUCAAGAUCAGGAACAAGGCGGAGAGGAGGCUCAGGAGGGCCAUAAAGAAGCUGGAGUCCCUCAAGAUUUUGGAUGUGGAGCUCUCGGACAGCUCCAUCGGGUCACUCUCCUCCAAUAGCUGCUCCGGUCACCGCGCGCCGGAGACGGAGGCGGACGUGAACAAUCCUGGCUCCUCGGCUGGUUCAUGCACUCAGGUGAACUCCUCCCAGGAAGGGAGCUGGUGCUCUGUUGUGUCCGAGCAAUCACCAUCUGUUCAUUGCAAGGAGGAGGAGGAGAAUGGCUUGGACCCUGAAGAUGCUAAGAACUGCGGCUCUGGGGAGGAGGCUGGUGACCAUGACUCAGAGAGAACACAUGGAACGCUCCCAUGUAGCAGGGAUGAUGAACCUGUUCAUGUGCCAUCCGACUUCGGCUCAUCAAAAUCCCAAGAUAACCAACGCGACGAGGACGACGACAGGCUAGCGCUGGUGCUGGUAGACCCGCAGCCGAAUGCAGAAACAGGCAACGAAGACGAUAUGCGUAUCGAUAUCCAAGCACGGAAGGCUCAGGCCGAGCCCAGAGAGGGAGACGGCGAAAUGGAGGAGGCGAAUGAGCUCGCGAUCGUGCUCGUGGACCCGCAACCCGAGCCCAAGGCGGAGCCUGCGGCGACGGCGAGGCCGCGCAACGACGUGCAGUCCGUGCUCCUCGCGCUGCGGCAGGUGAAGGAGCAGCUGCGGUACACGAUCGAGAGGAGGUCGGAGCUCGUCGCCCACCAGGAGCUUUGCGGCCACUGUUGAGAGCGCUGCACCUCGUCAGUUUUGAGCAGCGGCUCUUGCUAGUAUUUGCCACGAUACUACUAGAGUUCUUGACAGUGAUAGUGUAGUAGAGUAUUUGUAGAGAAAUUGGAAUAAGAUUUUGCUCCCGUGGCUGUGUUACAUACACGGGAGACAAACUGAGAUAAUUCAGUUGUGUACAAUUUGUUCUCCAUCUGUCAAUGUUAUAUAUGAUGGUCUGAUACGUCUGUUGAAA